GUCUCCUGGGGAGCGGCAUGAUUGGAUCAAGAAUUCCCCAACCCCAGGUCCCCUUCUGUCAUUACGUGGACAAGACUGACUUGUUCUCGGUGACACUCCUGCCCUGCUGCAGCCGAGUCAUGUCUGCAGGAGGCCUCGUCCCCACCACUUUGGUGAUUCACAUCCCUUCACUCAGAUGCAAGACUCUGUCUAUUAUAUAAUAAUUUGGCCUUUGUCCCUAUUCCUGAAAGGGAGACACUAAAGCUUUGGAAUAUCCCAACUAA
Odocoileus virginianus texanus is the source of this 263-nucleotide long non-coding RNA. RefSeq lists it as uncharacterized. Lineage: Eukaryota; Metazoa; Chordata; Mammalia; Artiodactyla; Cervidae. The record is from RefSeq and is a predicted model, not a curated record.